RNAcentral lists this long non-coding RNA (1032 nucleotides) under Homo sapiens (human). RNAcentral's name for it is "HSALNT0344576". Lineage: Eukaryota; Metazoa; Chordata; Mammalia; Primates; Hominidae. The record is from RNAcentral.
GUUCUCUUGGCAGCGUCUCAGGCUGUCUGGACCAGCUGUCACAGUCUCGCUGUGGGUUUUGCCUGGCAUUCUGCAGAAGCAUUGCUGUAUCUUACCAGACAGGAAUACAGAUGAAGACCCCCAGGCCCAGGGAAUUCGAUCACUGGCUGAGAACUCACAGCUAAGGAGGGGGAGCCUGGGAUUCCUUCCUGGUGCUCACACCCGAGACCCUUUUGUCACUGUGUUCAAAGGCACUGCUGCACAGACGUGAUUCUUCUUUCAACGAACAUCUCCAGGACUUCCUCCGGGGUCUGUGACCUCAUCUAUAAUUAAAGGGAAAGAGAUCUUCCUGAGAUUAGCCCAUUUAACUUGUUUAACUAGAUGCAUGCUGCAAAAACUGUUUUCAAGAAAUGAACAAUUGACUAUUUAAAAAGAGCCAAGCCUUAAAAGAAGACCAGGUUUUAAUAGGGAAAACAUUCAGUAAAAUAUUAUUCUGCAGUAACUUGUGGAAUGACUGCUGUACACACAGCUCUGGGCUGGGUACCUGGAAGCUCACGAGCUUGUUUGGCCUCCCCUCCUGGACACAGGAGGUGUCAAGGCUGUGGUCAGCAGAAUCUACCCAGCUGGACACUGAGUGGACGCCCUGUGGGGUGGCUGUGAAAUGGGUCCACUUUGUAGUGGCAGCAUCCCUGAUAGUACUUCUGAAAGGGACAAGAUAGAAAAGCAAACCAAACUGAAACUGAGAAGUCGUGGAUGAUACCAGGGGCGCACAGUGGCUGACAGGAAGAGACUGCCUGGGGGGUCUCGGAGCCAGUGGCUGGAGUGGAGUUAGUUUGACCGAGUCCUGGACUAGGGAGGGGACCCCCAAAGCAUGCCCAGCAUGGCGCUAGUGGGGCCCAGGCACCCCAUGUCCCAACGACUAGAACCAAUAAUCAGGUUAACACUCAUUAAAUAAGAAGUGUCUGUGCCUCCUGGGAUAAAAAUCCUUUAUAACGAUCUGGGACGCGAGCUCAAGUCCCUGUUCCCUUGUCCUCCACAGCAGUGUGCAGCGUG